Molecule: long non-coding RNA, 299 nt
Filed under: Medicago truncatula (barrel medic)
Lineage: Eukaryota; Viridiplantae; Streptophyta; Magnoliopsida; Fabales; Fabaceae
Description: lncRNA gene48502
Source: RNAcentral
GUGAAGGUCCUUAUGAUGUUAUAAACAUGCUAACAAAAUUAGGGAACGAAAUUUGACCCGUGAUUAAAUGCUUACUCUGAACAAAAAUGCAAUUUUGCGUGUCUUGGUUGAAAAAUUAAAAUAAAUUGUGGCAUCUUCGAAAUUCUAUGAAAUUUUACGGAUUAUUUCUAUGUAUUUUUUAUAGCUCUGCAAAUAAUCAGCUCUAAAUUCUGUUUAGUGGUUGGGAUUUUUGUUGUUUUAUUUAUUUUUUAGUUGUUAGCGCUUUUAAAGCUUUAAAAAUUCAUAAUCAAAUUUUCUUU